AUAAGGUAUCUUACCUUGAAUACAUAGGGGUAAGAAGC
Molecule: ribosomal RNA, 38 nt
Filed under: Gillisella vitis
Lineage: Bacteria; Pseudomonadati; Pseudomonadota; Alphaproteobacteria; Hyphomicrobiales; Rhizobiaceae
Description: Agrobacterium vitis partial 23S rRNA 1.3-kb fragment A
Source: RNAcentral